GACCGCUCUGGUGGCUUAGUGGUUAGAGCGUCGGCCUCAGAUGCGAGAGGUCGUGGGUUCGAUCCUCGGCCGAGUCA
Non-coding RNA from Potamilus streckersoni, 77 nucleotides. NCBI's taxonomy places the organism in Eukaryota, Metazoa, Mollusca, Bivalvia, Unionida, Unionidae. The record is from the annotation of a GenBank genome assembly.